This 71-nucleotide transfer RNA is filed under the name Rhoptropus diporus. RNAcentral describes it as "tRNA-Trp". It matches the Rfam family "tRNA". Rfam says of the family: Transfer RNA (tRNA) molecules are approximately 80 nucleotides in length. Their secondary structure includes four short double-helical elements and three loops (D, anti-codon, and T loops). Lineage: Eukaryota; Metazoa; Chordata; Lepidosauria; Squamata; Gekkonidae. The record is from RNAcentral.
AGAAGUUUAGGUUAACCAGACUAAACCAAGGACCUUCAAAGUCCUAAAAAGAGGUGCAACUCUAACUUCUG